UACGGGGGGGGCAAGCGUUGUUCGGAAUUACUGGGCGUAAAGGGCGCGUAGGCGGUUCGUUAAGUCCUGUGUGAAAUCCCCCGGCUCAACUGGGGAACUGCACAGGAAACUAGCGGGCUUGAGUUCGGGAGAGGGAAGCGGAAUUCCGGGUGUAGCGGUGAAAUGCUUAGAUAUGACAUAGAACACCAAUUGCGAAGGCAGCUUGCUACACAGUUAUUGACGCUGAGGCACGAAAGCGUGGGGAUCAAACAGG
This 253-nucleotide ribosomal RNA is filed under the name uncultured bacterium. RNAcentral's name for it is "partial 16S ribosomal RNA". It matches the Rfam family "Bacterial small subunit ribosomal RNA", at positions 524 to 776 of the family's 1533-position model. The record is from RNAcentral.